UACGGGAGGCAGCAGUGGGGAAUAUUGGGCAAUGGGGGAAACCCUGACCCAGCGACGCCGCGUGAGGGAAGAAGGUUUUCGGAUUGUAAACCUCUGUCUUCGGGGACGAUAAUGACGGUACCCGAGGAGGAAGCUACGGCUAAUUACGUGCCAGCAGCCGCGGUAAU
This 167-nucleotide ribosomal RNA is filed under the name uncultured rumen bacterium. Its description in RNAcentral is "partial 16S ribosomal RNA". It matches the Rfam family "Bacterial small subunit ribosomal RNA", at positions 340 to 524 of the family's 1533-position model. The record is from RNAcentral.